Molecule: transfer RNA, 72 nt
Filed under: Richelia sinica FACHB-800
Lineage: Bacteria; Bacillati; Cyanobacteriota; Cyanophyceae; Nostocales; Nostocaceae
Also listed under: 10 other names
Rfam family: tRNA
About the family: Transfer RNA (tRNA) molecules are approximately 80 nucleotides in length. Their secondary structure includes four short double-helical elements and three loops (D, anti-codon, and T loops).
Source: Rfam by way of RNAcentral
GGCGACAUAGCCAAGCGGUAAGGCAGAGGUCUGCAAAACCUCCAUUCCCCGGUUCAAAUCCGGGUGUCGCCU